UUCGCUGACGAGUGGCGGACGGGUGAGUAAUGUCUGGGAAACUGCCUGAUGGAGGGGGAUAACUACUGGAAACGGUAGCUAAUACCGCAUAACGUCGCAAGACCAAAGAGGGGGACCUUCGGGCCUCUUGCCAUCGGAUGUGCCCAGAUGGGAUUAGCUAGUAGGUGGGGUAACGGCUCACCUAGGCGACGAUCCCUAGCUGGUCUGAGAGGAUGACCAGCCACACUGGAACUGAGACAC
RNAcentral lists this ribosomal RNA (240 nucleotides) under Escherichia coli. Its description in RNAcentral is "partial 16S ribosomal RNA". It matches the Rfam family "Bacterial small subunit ribosomal RNA", at positions 84 to 327 of the family's 1533-position model. Lineage: Bacteria; Pseudomonadati; Pseudomonadota; Gammaproteobacteria; Enterobacterales; Enterobacteriaceae. The record is from RNAcentral.